CCCUUCAAUGCUAAUCUAAAGGAUGGAUUUCAACCCUUCAAUGCUAAUCUAAAGGAAGGAUUUCAACCCUUCAAUGCUAAUCUAAAGGAUGGAUUUCAACCCUUCAAUGCUAAUCUAAAGGAUGGAUUUCAACCCUUCAAUGCUAAUCUAAAGGAUGGAUUUCAACCCUUCAAUGCUAAUCUAAAGGAAGGAUUUCAACCCUUCAAUGCUAAUCUAAAGGAUGGAUUUCAACCCUUCAAUGCUAAUCUAAAGGAAGGAUUUCAACCCUUCAAUGCUAAUCUAAAGGAAGGAUUUCAACCCUUCAAUGCUAAUCUAAAGGAUGGAUUUCAACCCUUCAAUGCUAUUCUAAAAGAUGGAUUUCAACCCUUCAAUGCUAAUCUAAAGGAAGGAUUUCAACCCUUCAAUGCUAAUCUAAAGGAAGGAUUUCAACCCUUCAAUGCUAAUCUAAAGGAAGGAUUUCAACCCUUCAAUGCUAAUCUAAAGGAAGGAUUUCAACCCUUCAAUGCUAAUCUAAAGGGUGGAUUUCAACCCUUCAAUGCUAAUCUAAAGGGUGGAUUUCAACCCUUCAAUGCUAAUCUAAAGGGUGGAUUUCAACCCUUCAAUGCUAAUCUAAAGGGUGGAUUUCAACCCUUCAAUGCUAAUCUAAAGGGUGGAUUUCAACCCUUCAAUGCUAAUCUAAAGGGUGGAUUUCAACCCUUCAAUGCUAAUCUAAAGGAAGGAUUUCAACCCUUCAAUGCUAAUCUAAAGGAAGGAUUUCAACCCUUCAAUGCUAAUCUAAAGGGUGGAUUUCAACUCUUCAAUGCUAAUCUAAAGGGUGGAUUUCAACCCUUCAAUGCUAAUCUAAAGGAAGGAUUUCAACCCUUCAAUGCUAAUCUAAAGGGUGGAUUUCAACCCUUCAAUGCUAAUCUAAAGGAAGGAUUUCAACCCUUCAAUGCUAAUCUAAAGGAUGGAUUUCAACCCUUCAAUGCAAGUCUAAAGGAAGGAUUUCAACCCUUCAAUGCUAAUCUAAAGGAAGGAUUUCAACCCUUCAAUGCUAAUCUAAAGGAUGGAUUUCAACCCUUCAAUGCUAAUCUAAAGGGUGGAUUUCAACCCUUCAAUGCUAAUCUAAAGGAAGGAUUUCAACCCUUCAAUGCUAAUCUAAAGGAAGGAUUUCAACCCUUCAAUGCUAAUCUAAAGGAUGGAUUUCAACCCUUCAAUGCUAAUCUAAAGGAUGGAUUUCAACCCUUCAAUGCUAAUCUAAAGGAAGGAUUUCAACCCUUCCAAACAACAGACUUGUUUAUCCUCUUCAUCAUGUACAGACUGAAGGAGAGAUUAUCCUCUUCAUCAUGUACAGACUGA
This 1338-nucleotide long non-coding RNA is filed under the name Oncorhynchus mykiss (rainbow trout). RNAcentral's name for it is "lncRNA (ENSOMYG00000066115.1)". The record is from RNAcentral. Lineage: Eukaryota; Metazoa; Chordata; Actinopteri; Salmoniformes; Salmonidae.